GUCCACGCCGUAAACGAUGGAUGCUAGCCGUCGGCAAGCUUGCUUGUCGGUGGCGCAGCUAACGCAUUAAGCAUCCCGCCUUGGGAGUACGGCCGCAAGGUUAAAACUCAAAGGAAUUGACGGGGGCCCGCACAAGCGGUGGAGCAUGUGGUUUAAUUCGACGCAACGCGAAUAACCUUACCAAGCCUUGACAUGUCCGGACAGGCCUCAGAAAAGGGGUCCUCCUAGCAAUAGGUCGGAACACAGGUGCUGCAUGGCUGUCGU
This 264-nucleotide ribosomal RNA is filed under the name uncultured bacterium. RNAcentral's name for it is "partial 16S ribosomal RNA". It matches the Rfam family "Bacterial small subunit ribosomal RNA", at positions 793 to 1055 of the family's 1533-position model. The record is from RNAcentral.